GGGCGGCUACAGAUGCUAAUCGAUGGAUGACGGGAGCUUGCUCCUUAUCAGCGGCGGACGGGUGAGUAUGCCUAGGAAUCUGCCUGGUAGUGGGGGACAACGUUUCGAAAGGAACGCUAAUACCGCAUACGUCCUACGGGAGAAAGCAGGGGACCUUCGGGCCUUGCGCUAUCAGAUGAGCCUAGGUCGGAUUAGCUAGUUGGUGAGGUAAUGGCUCACCAAGGCGACGAUCCGUAACUGGUCUGAGAGGAUGAUCAGUCACACUGGAACUGAGACACGGUCCAGACUCCUACGGGAGGCAGCAGUGGGGAAUAUUGGACAAUGGGCGAAAGCCUGAUCCAGCCAUGCCGCGUGUGUGAAGAAGGUCUUCGGAUUGUAAAGCACUUUAAGUUGGGAGGAAGGGCAGUAAG
RNAcentral lists this ribosomal RNA (410 nucleotides) under uncultured Pseudomonas sp. RNAcentral describes it as "bacterial SSU rRNA". It matches the Rfam family "Bacterial small subunit ribosomal RNA", at positions 44 to 459 of the family's 1533-position model. Lineage: Bacteria; Pseudomonadati; Pseudomonadota; Gammaproteobacteria; Pseudomonadales; Pseudomonadaceae. The record is from RNAcentral.